ACCCUGGCUUUCGGGUAGGGAGCGUACACAGGUGCUGCAUGGCUGUCGUCAGCUCGUGUCGUGAGAUGUUGGGUUAAGUCCCGUAACGAGCCGCAACCCUUGUCCUUAGUUACCAGCACGUUAUGGUGGGCACUCUAAGGAGACUGCCGGUGACAAACCGGAGGAAGGUGGGGAUGACGUCAAGUCAUCCAUGGCCCUUACGGCCUGGGCUACACACGUGCUACAAUGGUCGGUACAAAGGGUUGCCAAGCCGCGAGGUGGAGCUAAUCCCAUAAAACCGAUCGUAGUCCGGAUCGCAGUCUGCAACUCGACUGCGUGAAGUCGGAAUCGCUAGUAAUCGUGAAUCAGAAUGUCACGGUGAAUACGUUCCCGGGCCUU
Molecule: ribosomal RNA, 378 nt
Filed under: uncultured Pseudomonas sp.
Lineage: Bacteria; Pseudomonadati; Pseudomonadota; Gammaproteobacteria; Pseudomonadales; Pseudomonadaceae
Description: bacterial SSU rRNA
Rfam family: Bacterial small subunit ribosomal RNA
Source: RNAcentral